This 406-nucleotide ribosomal RNA is filed under the name uncultured bacterium. RNAcentral describes it as "partial 16S ribosomal RNA". It matches the Rfam family "Bacterial small subunit ribosomal RNA", at positions 29 to 526 of the family's 1533-position model. The record is from RNAcentral.
AUUGAACGCUGGCGGCAGGCCUAACACAUGCAAGUCGAACGAGUGGCGGACGGGUGAGUAAUGUCUGGGAAACUGCCUGAUGGAGGGGGAUAACUACUGGAAACGGUAGCUAAUACCGCAUACCAUCGGAUGUGCCCAGAUGGGAUUAGCUAGUAGGUGGGGUAAAGGCUCACCUAGGCGACGAUCCCUAGCUGGGCUGAGAGGAUGCACAGCCAACCUGGAACUGAGACACGGUCCAGACUCCUACGGGAGGCAGCAGUGGGGAAGAUGGCACAAUGGGCGCAAGCCUGAUGCAUCCAUGCCGCGGGUAGGAAGAAGGCCUUCGGGUUGUAAAGUACUGUCAGCGGGGAGGCGUUACCCGCAGAAGAAGCACCGGCUAACUCCGUGCCAGCAGCCGCUGUAAUUC